GUUUGUUAUGACUUUUUUAAAUGCAUUGUGUGACGCGUUUGACUAAGACAUUUGGUAGGCGCGUGCUUGAGAUCCAUCUGAUCUGCCAGGUCAAUUAAUGAACUGGAUCCAACGCCUCUCCUUUUUUUCUGAUUUUUCUAAUUUCCAUUUUAUUUCUUUUAUUUCCUUUUAUUUCAAAAAUUCAUAUCUCUUUUAUUAUUGGUCCAAAAUAUAUGGGACCAAUUGCAUUAUUUCUCUUUAAAUUUCUAGUUUCUAAAAAUGAUUUUUAAUAUUUUUUAUUUUAUCAUUUGCUAUUUUUUAAUAAUUUUCUCUUUUCUGGUUAUUUUUAAUUCAUUUUAAAUAGUUUUU
This 348-nucleotide long non-coding RNA is filed under the name Lathyrus oleraceus (garden pea). RNAcentral describes it as "Pisum sativum (pea) long non-coding RNA (PSAT_LNC014267)". The record is from RNAcentral. Lineage: Eukaryota; Viridiplantae; Streptophyta; Magnoliopsida; Fabales; Fabaceae.